Molecule: non-coding RNA, 2672 nt
Organism: Coffea arabica (coffee)
Lineage: Eukaryota; Viridiplantae; Streptophyta; Magnoliopsida; Gentianales; Rubiaceae
Source: RefSeq, a predicted model, not a curated record
CCCGUUAAUGUGAAUCAUGGAAACUGCUGAAGUUGAAGAAAUUUUGCUCUUAAUUGGGGAACCAAAGUUGCAUGGAGGGAUGUGUAAGAGUUUAUCAGCAAUUUAUGCUAAAGUAUUGGGGAUAUUUCCUGACUUGGAAGCAGCAAGGCCAAGAAGUACAUCAGGCAUUCAAGCAUUGUGUGCAUUGCACAUUGCCCUUGAGAAGACGAAGAAUAUUCUUCAACACUGUGCAGAGUGUAGUAAACUUUACUUGGCUAUAACUGGUGACUCUGUUGUUCUAAAGUUCGAGAAAGGCAAGAUGCGCUCUUGAAGAUGGUCUGAGGCGUGUCGAAGAUAUUGUUCCACAAGCUAUUGGUUCACAGAUAUCAGAAAUUUUGAUUGAUCUUAUGGGGAUUGAAUUCUCACUUGAUUCGAUGGAGAAACAAGUUGGUGACGAGAUAAUUGCAUUGCUCCAGCAAGGUAGAAAAUUCAACAACUCUAACGACACUGGUGAACUUGAAUCUUUUCACCAGGCUGCUUCUAGACUUGGUAUCACAUCUUCAAGAGCUGCACUUAGAGAGAGACGGGCUUUGAAGAAACUUAUAGACAGAGCUCGUGCUGAGGAAGACAAAAGAAAGGAAUCAAUUGUGGCUUAUCUUUUGCAUCUAAUGAGAAAAUAUCAAAAUUAUUUAGAAAUGAAUUUUCGGAUGAUAAUGACUCACAGGGUUCUACACCUUGUUCUCCAACUGUUCAAGGAUCAUUUGAGGAUGGUAGUGGGCCUGGAAUUAAUGGCCAUGCCUUUGACAGACAACUCUCAAAACUCAGCUCUUUUAACUUCAAGCCAAACUUCAGGAGAUCUGGGCAGAUUCCUGUCCUCCUGAAGAAUUAAGGUGCCCAAUAUCAUUGCAACUCAUGUAUGAUCCUGUAAUUAUUGCUUCUGGACAGACGUAUGAAAGAAUCUGCAUAGAGAAGUGGUUCAGCGAUGGGCACAAGACAUGCCCAAAAACUCAGCAGCAGCUGUGUCAUCUUGGAUUGACUCCAAAUUACUGUGUAAAGGGUCUAGUUGCUAGUUGGUGUGAACAGAAUGGAGUUCCUGUUCCAGAUGGCCCUCCCGAGUCUCUUGAUCUGAACUACUGGAGAUUGGCUCUGUCAGACAGUGAUACUGCAAAAUCAAAAUUAACCAUAAUGUUGGGUACUUCAAGUUCAAGGGUGUGAAGGUGGUACCCUUGGAGGAUAGUGGUGUUAUUGAGGAAGCUGAAGGAAAUGAAGUUGAAGAUGUUUCUCCACAGGAGCAUGAAUGUGGGGUCAAUUUAUUCGAAAGUAUAAAGACUUUUUGGUCAUCUUAGAAAAAGAAGACGACAUAACAAAACAGUGCAAAGUGGUAGAACAGAUAAGGCACUUGCUAAAGGAUGAUGAAGAAGCCAGAAUAUACAUGGGGGCAAAUGGUUUUGUUGAAGCAUUAUUGCGGUUUUUGGACUCGGCCUUGCAAGCAAGGAAUGAGACAGCUCAGGAAGUUGGAGCCAUGGCUCUUUUCAAUCUGGCUGUGAAUAAUAACAGAAACAAGGACUUGAUGCUGGAAGGAAAAGUGCUUGAAUUGCUGGGAAGAUGAUCAUUAAUUGCAAAUGUGCUGGAGCUGCAACAGCCCUUUACCUUAACCUGUCUUGCCUUGAAGAGGCCAAGCCCAUUAUUGGAUCCAGUGAAGCUGUCCCUUUCUUGAUUCAGGUUCUUCAGCAUCAACCUGAUGUACAAUGUAGGCUUGAUUCGCUCCAUGCCCUUUAUAAUCUUUCUGGCACCAAGCCAAUAUCCCCCCUUCUAUCAGCUGGUGUCAUUGACAGUUUGCAAGUCCUUAUCACAAAUUCGGGUGACCAUUCUUGGACAGAGAAAUCCAUUGCGGUUGUCAUAAACUUGGCUGCAAGUAGAUCAGCGCGUGAGGAAAUCAUAUCUUCUUCUGGCCUUGUCAGUGGGCUUGCACUAUUUUGGAUGUUGGUGAGCCUGUUGAGCAGGAGCAAGCUGCUGCAUGUCUUUUAAUACUAUGCAAUGGCAAUGAGAAGUGCAGUCAAAUGGUCCUUCAAGAAGGAGUGAUUCCUUCUUUGGUUUGUAUUUCUGUAAAUGGGACGACGAGAGGAAAACAGAAAGCUCAGAAGCUCUUAAUGUUGUUUCGUGAGCAGAGGCAGCGGGAGCCAUCAGCUGUCCAGGCUGCGCUGCAGCCUGAAUGUAGUGAGAUUCCCGUAACCACAGAAGAUGCAAAACCACUAUGCAAAUCAGUUUCCAGAAGAAAAGUGGGAAGAGCCUGGAGUUUUUGGUGGAAGAACAAGAGUUUUUCUGUAUACCAGUGUUAAGAGACUCUUCUUAGUUCCUUUGCUGACAAUCUUGUACAUUAAAUCACGUAUCUCUCCUUUGUAUUAAUUAGUUCUGUCCUAUUCAAUAGGCAUCGUGUUUUCCAGUUUCCUGUUUCCCACAGAAGAUAUGUACAGGUUCCUGUAAGGCUAUAGCCACUAAAUUUUGCUUGCUUUAUCUUCCUGAUAGAAUAGCGUACAACUACCCAAAAGUGAACCCUUAGUUGAAGUUUUAAAAGUGAAUCUCCUGGUACUUAAAGAACGGGAGUCUGUAAAUGAUGUAAACUUGCAUCGCGACCAAUUGAAGAGUUAGAUGGCAUGCUAUUCAAAGGGAAGGCGAUCUUGUGAAUUUUCCUU